This 902-nucleotide ribosomal RNA is filed under the name uncultured marine bacterium. Its description in RNAcentral is "bacterial SSU rRNA". It matches the Rfam family "Bacterial small subunit ribosomal RNA", at positions 8 to 916 of the family's 1533-position model. The record is from RNAcentral.
AGAGUUUGAUCCUGGCUCAGGACGAACGCUGGCGGUGCGCCUUAUGCAUGCAAGUCGAGCGAAGCUUUUCAGUAGUUUACUACAGAAAAUGACUGAGCGGCGAACGGGUGAGUAACGCGUGAGUAAUCUACCUUAGUUACAGGGAUAGCCCGAGGAAACUCGGAUUAAUACCUGAUAUUCUUUAUUUCUCGCAUGAGAAUAAAAGGAAAGGUCAGCCGAACUAAGAUGAGCUUGCGUUCUAUCAGCUAGUUGGUGAGGUAAAAGCUCACCAAGGCUACGACGGAUAGCUGGUCUGAGAGGACGAUCAGCCACACUGGGACUGAGACACGGCCCAGACUCCUACGGGAGGCUGCAGCAGGGAAUAUUGUGCAAUGAACGAAAGUUUGACACAGCGACACCGCGUGUGGGAUGACGGAUCUAGGUUUGUAAACCACUUUCAGGAGGGAAGAAAAUGACGGUACCUCCAUAAGAAGCCCCGGCCAACUACGUGCCAGCAGCCGCGGUAAUACGUAGGGGGCGAGCGUUGUCCGGAUUUAUUGGGCGUAAAGAGCUCGUAGGCGGUUCAACAAGUCGGUCGUGAAAGUUCAGGGCUCAACCCUGAAAUGUCGAUCGAUACUGUUGUGACUAGGAUACGGUAGAGGUGAGUGGAAUUCCGAGUGUAGCGGUGAAAUGCGUAGAUAUUCGGAGGAACACCAAUUGCGAAGGCAGCUCACUGGGCCGCUAUCGACGCUGAGGAGCGAAAGCUAGGGGAGCAAACAGGAUUAGAUACCCUGGUAGUCCUAGCUGUAAACGAUGGAUACUAGACGUAGAACUGGAUUGACGGUUUCUGUGUCGCAGCUAACGCGUUAAGUAUCCCGCCUGGGGAGUACGGUCGCAAGACUAAAACUCAAAGGAAUUGACGG